RNAcentral lists this unclassified non-coding RNA (302 nucleotides) under uncultured Chaetomium. Its description in RNAcentral is "sequence contains ITS1". The stretch from base 1 to 105 matches the Rfam family "5.8S ribosomal RNA", at positions 50 to 154 of the family's 154-position model. The record is from RNAcentral. Lineage: Eukaryota; Fungi; Ascomycota; Sordariomycetes; Sordariales; Chaetomiaceae.
GAAAUGCGAUAAGUAAUGUGAAUUGCAGAAUUCAGUGAAUCAUCGAAUCUUUGGACGCACAUUGCGCCCGCCAGUAUUCUGGCGGGCACGCCUGUUCGAGCGUCAUUUCAACCAUCAAGCCCCCGGCUUGUGUUGGGGACCUGCGGCUGCCCGCAGGCCCUGAAAACCAGUGGCGGGCUCGCUGUCACACCGAGCGUAGUAGCAUACAUCUAGCUCAGGGCGUGCUGCGGGAUCCGGCCGUUAAACGACCUCUAUAACCCAAGGUUGACCUCGGAUCAGGCAGGAAGACCCGCUGAACUUAA